This 318-nucleotide ribosomal RNA is filed under the name Triticum aestivum (bread wheat). RNAcentral's name for it is "partial small subunit ribosomal RNA". Lineage: Eukaryota; Viridiplantae; Streptophyta; Magnoliopsida; Poales; Poaceae. The record is from RNAcentral.
AUGUCAGUUUCAGAUACAAACCUUCAUAAUGGAGAAAAGCCCAUCUCCGAAACUACUGAUGCAGAACUCGCCGAAAAGCAUGGUCAUAUGAAGUUAGUAUGCUCACAGACAAGGUUCGGAAAAACCAUGAAACUGUUGUCACAAGACCACAAAAAGUACAUCAUAUCAGAAACCAGUCUUGGCGGUCUAACCCAGAUGCAUGAAGUGACUCUACGGUGCAUAAUGUUGGUUAGACUAGCCAAGAGCAUAGAUAUGGACACGAAAUCCAUUACCAUCAGACGAAAGAGGACGUGCAAGGUAUAUUUGGCAUUCCGAUAG